UAGGCUGUAGAAUGCCCAUACCACAGUAGGCUGUAGAAUGCCCAUACCACAGUAGACUGUAGAAUGCCCAUACCACAGUAGACUGUAGAAUGCCCAUACCACAGUAGGCUGUAGAAUGCCCAUACCACAGUAGACUGUAGAAUGCCCAUACCACAGUAGGCUGUAGAAUGUCCAUACCACAGUAGGCUGUAGAAUGCCCAUGCCACAGUAGGCUGUAGAAUGCCCAUGCCACAGUAGGCUGUAGAAUGCCCAUGCCACAGUAGGCUGUAGAAUGCCCAUACCACAGUAGGCUGUAGAAUGACCACACCACAGUAUUGAUGUUAGUGCAGCCUAAGAAUGGGAGAUGCUGGUUUCUCUGUAAGAAUGCAUAUCUGUGUUACUGGCAGCAAUCAAUGCGAUCAUAACUGACAAUUCAAGGCAAUUUAUAGGCUUAUAUGCUUCAAUAAACAAAUAUCUGUUUUUGUCCGUUAUGGUUCCUCAGGCUUAGUCUCCCAUGAAGUGCAGUCCACAAGGCAGAGGUCCCUGUUCUUUUCAGCUCCAGCAGCUUUCCAUCAUGUACCUCUCAAUUGUGGCCUCCUCUCCUCCGGGAUUUAAAACUGGUUAGCUAAUAUACUGUAAAUGAGGGAUGCCUGGUUAGUCUGGCUUCUGGAGGUCUUGAGUGUCAGUGCAGGAGACCAGGACAGGACACCGCAUUAGACAAUUGAGAUGGCUACCUACUGAUAUACAAACCUAUGUAUCAUGCAGGUAAACAGCUUAGCUGGACAGUAUGCAUCAUUUCUUAAAUGUGGGGCAUGACCUAAAAUAUAUAAGUACAACAUUUCGAGAGCUUGAGUCUAUCUGCAAAAAGAGGAUUCUGAGAUAAUUGGCGUUAAAGUUCCCGAACCCUCAUUGGUUUGAAAGGUGUCAGCAAUUUUUUUUGUUAUAUUCUUUCUUUGGAACAGGUAUACAGGUAGAACAAAUACAGGUAGAACCUUGUAGUCCCAACCUCUCGACUUGGCUGUGUCUUUACACUUAUUUUUGUCUCGUUUUUCGAACAUCGAGAAGCAAUUAUUCCACUAAUAAGUGAAAGGACUUUAUAAGUUUCCACCAUCUUUGCGUUUUGCUCACCUGUCAUUUCCUGCCAAAUCUGAGCAAAGGACAGAUAGAAAGGAAGCUAUCGGACUGUUGAGACACAUCCAUUCAUUCAAUUAUACAGUCAGCUUAUGAACCACUGUAAUAAUGCACCAACCACACAAUUACACCUGUAAUAUUGAACCAUGUAAAAAUUAACGAGCAAACCUAAAUUUCAUUGAAUUAUUAUUUUGUGCAUAUUUUUAUUGUUACAGUUAUGCCUAUAGACUUUCUUCACGUAUUCCUUGGUCCCGCAUGACUGUCUACAAUCUAUACUGUAUUUAUAUUUAGGAGCGUACAUCAGAAAGAGAGAAACCCGCAGCGCCAAGCAUAUUGAGCAUGUGAGCUAAAAAUAGCAUCAUCGGACGGCCCCGCGCCGCUCCGUUACCACGCGUUUCAGUAUUCUGCUCCGUAAAAAAAAGAAAAAGGAAACAUCUUGUCGGCUAUAUUAAGACGGUAAUAUAGGCUACCAUUGUUGUGACUGAGGAAUAUGUUUGGAAAGCUACCUACCAUCAGAGAAAGUGGGCGUUUGUUUUGUGCUUGUGUGUAUUCGUGUCCAGUGUCUGUGUGUGUGCGCGUGUGUUUGUGUAGGCGCGCGUGCGUGAGAAUCUGUUGCGUGGGCUGUAGCUUCCAUUAACAUGAAAGGAAGAAGGGAGGGAAGACUAAACGAAUAGAGAGAGACGUAGAGAGAGAGAGAGAGUGCCAGCGAGAGAGGCGGAGAGUUGAGUGAGAGAGGCAAAGAGGGAGGGAGAGAGCGAGCGAGAGAGAAACACAUAGAGAGAGAGAGACAGAGGGGAAGAUUGUGUGUGUGUUUGUGUAGGCGCGCGUGCGUGAGAAUCUGUUGCGUGGGCUGUAGCUUCCACUAACAUGAAAGGAAGAAGGGAAGACUAAACGAAUAGAGAGAGAGGUAGAGAAAUGUGGAGAGAGAGAGAGGGGGGCUUGUGCAUUUUGAAAUGCUUGGAGCCAUGAUUUCGUAUACCGUACAUUUAUAGUCACCGAACAAAGCGACAAUUUUAACCCCAAUAUUGUGUAUUUUACAUUCACUUGCAUGUGGUCAAUUCUGAACCAGCGGUUCAACAGCAAAUUCAACGGCUAUGGCUUUCUAUCAGCAGCGAUGGGCUUCAUGGUGGCUAUGGCUUUCUAUCAGCAGCCAUGGGCUUCAAAGUGGGAGAAUCUUAACGUGACGUCAAUGCCUAGUAACUGACGCAGCUCUCACGAGGAAAAAUAUAUGUAUUUAUGUAUUUUCUCCCUCUAUAGCGUUAAUUGAGUUUUAUCUGAAAUUCACAUAGAGGAGAAAUUAUACAAAAUGUAUAUACUUUAGCUGUAUGCCAUUCUACUAACUGAUACACAGAGAGAGAGAGAGAGAAAACAAAUAUAUGUAUUUAUUUAUUUUCUCCCUCUAUAGCGUUAAUUUAGUUUUAUCUGAAAUUCACAUAGAGGAGAAAUUAUACAAAAUGUAUAUACUUUAUCUGUAUGCCGAGAGAGAGAGAGAGAGAGAAAUAAAACAAAAAAAGUGUAGGAUUAAUUAGACUACAUUGGCAAGAAUCUCUGCAUUGUCAUCCACUGAACGCAAUAAGGCCGCCGUGUCACGUGCACCACUUUAGUAUAGUGAUUUAAAACGACACGGGAACGCGCAUGUAUACAGUGUGUGCUGGGCGAAGGGAAAUAUGAACGCGCAUGUUUCAGCCCUACGCUUGAAAUUCCUCCGAGGAACCUCUGUGAGGUUUUCUUUUUUUUCUCUCAAUGCGAGCUAAAAAUAGCAACGGGGUUGGCUCGUGAUCCAGAAAUAGAUAGGGGGCAUCACUCGUAUAAAAGGCAUACCAUUCAAGAGUACAGUGUGUACACUUAGUGUAGGAAUCAAGAACAGCAGCUGAUCUAGCACUGUUAAAAAUAUAUUUCUCUGUUGUUUUGUGACACUUGAAAAUAGUGUUAGUGAAACGUAUUUCCCCUUUCAGCGAGGGGUUCGCGCAUUGGUGAGUGAUCGGUGCAUUUAUUUUUUCAGUUGAAGGAUGCAUUUAAUACGCUCGACUGUUGGUUAGCGUCCGUAAGGUUAUGUAUAGGCUACCUUGUUUGUUGUAAACAAUGACGACUUUGGAAUAAUGGUCAGAGUGAUUUGGUGUGAAAUGUGAGCGCUAGACGUAUGCUUGAUGAAAAUCAAACCAGCCUUUCUUUUCAGUCGGAGAAUCAUGCAGUGUGUAAAUCGGCGCUGUUGAGCUCUCACGUAUGUUUGAAAUGUCUCUUUCCGCGAGGACUUGUGAAUGUAUGUAAACCUCUGCCUGGGACGAAGGAAACGUAUCCCAAUUAGGCUACUUAAUUAUUCUUUUUGGGGGACCAGAAUCGGGAAGAGUCAAAUGCGUUACAGCUGCACAUAACUCAAGUGAAGACAGUCGGGAGCUGUCCACUCCGGGCGCUGCUGAAAUGUUCACAACUCAAAGCGCGACCAAUACCAUACAGAAAUUCUACUCAGUUUGAAAGAAGAAAGUUUCCAGGCUGACAUUAUGGGUGGAGUUGUCUAUUAGACCACAUUUAAUAGAACAAUACUCAGUUCGUGUUUGGAAUUAUGUUGCUCUCACGUCUGGUCUGGAUAGCGCCAUCCUCUUAGAUUCAGAUAGCAGUUGACUGGAAAGAGCGACCCUUCUCGAGUCGUGACUGCUAAAGUGAGUAGCGCGCGUACUGCGUCAGAGGCGGCAGCCACCCUGUGCUCGAGACAGAAGGAAGGAAUCGUGACCGAUUGGAGGCGGCCACAAAUUAAAGUCCCGGCCAAUCAAAUAGGCGCAAGAGCGGGCCUGAAGAGUUCGGGAACUUUUGGGGUUCCAAUGGAUCUAAUUUAUUGAAUAACCAGUUGUUUUUUUUCGCGCCACCGACUGUCGACUGUCUUCUACUUGCAUAGGCUACUGCAGGCUAUGCAGGAUGUAUAUUUGGGGGUAGCCAAUGGGUUAUCCUAAUAUCGUGCCCUGUAGUCCCCUAGUCCACCAGUGUAGAUAUUGGCUAUUUGAGGAUUCAAUCCCAUCGCGCUUGUAGACAACACAGCUUUUAAAUGCAAUAUUAGCGCGGUCGUUGAGAUCGCAUUCAAGGUAAACGCUGCAGAUGCCGGCUCCUUUAAAAUGUCAAGCGCGCUAUGAAGUGGAUACCGCGGAUCAGAAUGAAUCCCAGCCUUGGUCUAAAUGUGGAUGAUCAUUGUAAUCUGUAGUGUUAGACCUAUAAGUAAGUGUUGGUUCCAUCACUGUGGGGUGUCCAGUGAUGGUUCAUGUUGUUGAUGGUUGAGUAAAUGUUUGUUUAGGGGUAGUUUACGCGCGGCAAUGUGGGAUGCUGUCAGAUGUCAUCAUCUAUUAUCAACAUUCGGGAUAUGUUUCUCACCAUCAAACAUUUGGUUGGAUCAGAUUCAUUUUAUUGUACUUGUUUGUUUCAGAAGCUCCCCAUGUUUGCAUACAUUUAUUUUGGCUUUGGCAUGGUGUAAAGGCAACUGUGUGGACAAUGGUUUGUCCCGUUACUUUUUCACCGUGGGGAGACCAGUUAGUUUUCCUUUUCGUCUUUUUUUGUUGGAUAAGGGGGGUCCCUAUAGAGAUUGAUUGCGAUUGGUAGAUGACGAGUUCUGCACUCUCCAAUGAAACCCUUCGCUACUCUCUAUUUACGGUAUGUUGGAGCAGAGCAGCGUUCUUCCUCGUGCACAGCUAUCGGCAGACAACUGGAGAUCGGCUCUCCACCAGGCGACGUUACGAAUAAGAGGAUGUACGUACACACACCGCGAUUGUUGCUGGUUUAGAAAUAAAACACAGUGUUUUCUGUAGCCUAACGUGAAUUGAUAUGGUUAGACGAAUGUGGUUACAAUGUCGGAUUCCACAUGCAAGAACCUUGCGCGCAAGGAUAGAUUGUGAGUGUUGUACCAAUUGCUGGACAGAUGCACUUUGUGUGGAUGAGAGACAGUGGAAGACUCUUUUUACGGCAGUAGUUCGUGGAGUGAUGUGGAUCUGGACCCAUAGAUUGUCCGUCACGAAUCUUUUUGCGGUCUGGGCUUGCUGUUCAUAAAUAUCAGUCUGGGAAGCCCUUACCCCAAAAAGCAUUUGUGGUGGACUCAGUCGCCGAAUUGAAUGUAUUGUAUUUAUUGACGAGUGAUAUUAUUAUUGUCAUAUUAUUGCAGAUGUUUGUUGUUGUUGUUGUCAAAUAUCUCCCGACACGGGGAGUCAAAAUCUGCAUGCAUUGUUGUGAUUUCAUAAACAUGUGUGGUAUAGGCCUAUAGUUCAGGACAAUAGGGAAAGGACCUGUUAGUCCUUUUUAGAGGACGGACACACACACACAAGUUGGAUAACUUUCCUAUCAUUGUGGAUAAUCAUCUUGAACUUUCUGUAUAAAAUCUAUAGAAGACUGAACGUGUGUGUUUGUAAGAUCCCAGGUUACAGGUAUAUUAUUGAUUGUGUUGGAAGCAGAAGUAGGGAAUGUAUGUAGUGUACACAACAGCACAGUAGCAAACUGUGUAGCAGUGACACGUACAGGUUACCUGGGAGGAGAAACGACACAACAUCCACCUUUAAUAGUGUUAUUUCGACUUCAGACAACUGGUUUCUUCCAGGCAUUUGUCAAAUGAUAAACAUUUCUGGCUUUUAAUAUGACAUUCAUUUCACUUGACAUGUUACACAUGUUAUUUUUUAAUACCUUUAUUUUGACAGAGAGCCCUGUAAUUACAGAAACAUACACAUCCAUACAAUACGGAACACAGAGAGACAGGUGUUACAUGUGUUAAAUGUUGCCGUCUAAUGUUGUAAUAUUUGGUUACAUUUUAUCUGUCACCUUUUGUACAUGAGUUCUGUAUUCUUCAAAACACAAUGAUGUGGGAUAAUUGUAUGAGUUUGCUGUUUAAAUAAAAUGUUGAUUAUGAAA
Long non-coding RNA from Salvelinus fontinalis (brook trout), 5985 nucleotides. RefSeq lists it as uncharacterized. The record is from RefSeq and is a predicted model, not a curated record. Lineage: Eukaryota; Metazoa; Chordata; Actinopteri; Salmoniformes; Salmonidae. The transcript has 2 exons.